GAUGAACGCUGGCGGCGUGCCUAAUACAUGCAAGUCGAGCGGUAAGGCUCCUUCGGGAGUACACGAGCGGCGGACGGCUGAGUAACACGUAGGAACGUACCCCAAACUGAGGGAUAAGCACCAGAAAUGGUGUCUAAUACCGCAUGUGAUCUCCGGAUUAAAGCUACGGCGGUUUGGGAACGGCCUGCGCACGAUUAGAUAGUUGGUGAGGUAAUGGCUCACCAAGUCGACGAUCGUUAGCUGGUCUGAGAGGAUGAUCAGCCAGACUGGGACUGAGAACGGCCCAGACUCCUACGGGAGGCAGCAGUAGGGUAAUUUUCCACAAUGGACGAAAGUCUGAUGGAGCAACGCCGCGUGCAGGAUGAAUGCCUUCGGGUUGUAAACUGCUUUUAUCUGUGACGAAUAUGACGGUAGCAGAUGAAUAAGGAUCGGCUAACUCCGUG
This 443-nucleotide ribosomal RNA is filed under the name uncultured bacterium. RNAcentral describes it as "bacterial SSU rRNA". It matches the Rfam family "Bacterial small subunit ribosomal RNA", at positions 28 to 507 of the family's 1533-position model. The record is from RNAcentral.